CUUUCCAAAAGGUUUUCUCGAGAUGGAGCCGUGAUGAUGAUCAUGGGUACAGCAGAAUUAUUUAACGAUGAAGGUGGUGAGGAAGAUGAUGAUAAGUCACUGCUGAGAGACUCGUCUACUGUGAGAAUGAAAAAAGUGGUUGGAGGAGGUUAUGGAAAACUGCAACUGAAGAGUGAGUGGAGAGUCGUUGGAGUCUGAAGGAGAAGAUGCUGGAGACACAGGAGAUUAAGGAGAUGAAGGAGACACAGAGGAUCAGGAGAGACGAUGGAGGAAUAAUGUAUAAACAAUCCAGGAUGCAGGCAAUUGUUAAGCGUGAGUGGGUGAGCAACAGGAAGGAUGAUGGGAAAUGGAGUUCAGGGAAGGGGGAAUCUCCUCAACCACCACCAAUGUGCAGCAUCCACCUGUAUGAUGAGACGGCAGCC
Molecule: long non-coding RNA, 422 nt
Organism: Megalobrama amblycephala (Wuchang bream)
Lineage: Eukaryota; Metazoa; Chordata; Actinopteri; Cypriniformes; Xenocyprididae
Exons: 3
Source: RefSeq, a predicted model, not a curated record